This 1092-nucleotide long non-coding RNA is filed under the name Nicotiana benthamiana. RNAcentral describes it as "long non-coding RNA (NBEN_LNC042476)". Lineage: Eukaryota; Viridiplantae; Streptophyta; Magnoliopsida; Solanales; Solanaceae. The record is from RNAcentral.
CUAGCCUACUCCUAAUACAGUUUAGACUAGACUUCUAAUACAGUUAGACUUCUAACAAGAAUCAGUUUGCAGACAGCUUGGCAUGCGUGAAGCCUAUCUAACACUUCUUAUGCUUGAAGACUUAUUGAUCUCCUUUGACCGGAGGAGAAGUUUGUUGGGCCCACGCCCACUUUUCCAACCAAGUGGCCUAAUUGCCAUUCUCAAAUUUCUUUUUGGUUUGGUUUGGUUUAAAUUCCGUUUUGUUAGAUAGUUAUGUGUGAAUAGUCCUAGUCCCAUAUGUAGUAGGAGUAGAAUAUGUCCUAGUCCCAUACGCAGUAGGAGUAGAAUAUGUCCUAAUUUCAUAUGUAGUAGGAGUACAAAAUAUAUUAUAUAUAGGGCUCAUUGUAUCAUUGUUAAUAAAUAGAUUUUUCUCCCGUGUAUUCUCACAUGGUAUCAAAGCUUUAGUGAGAAAAUUAUCACUGUGCAUCAUUCCAGCGACAUCUGGGAAGAAAGAUCUCGUCGCCGUGCAAUUUUUCAACAACUUCUUUUUGUUCCCAGGGUUCAUCACUACUACAGUGGUGCUGUAAAUAUACCAAUACCACCAUCAAAUCCGAAACCCUUGGGCAACCAAACCCCAUAAAUUCCCCAUCUAAACAGAAAAGUCAGUCACUGCACUUCUUUCCGGUUGACGAUUCAAGUUUGAUUUGCGUUAUCUCCUAUUAUGCGAAAACCAACACUACCUUCUAGUUCGGAAAAAUCGGGCGACAAAACCCAGUCAAUUGCUCUUGGCAGAAAGUCAUGCGUCUCCAUGCUUUGCUAGAACUAGGGUUCCGGCGAGCUACAGUAACUUUUCCAGCAUGUGAGCCAUUCCGGCCACUUUUUGACAAAAUUUCUUCAAGAAAACUUACUCGUCCAGUGAUUCGAGCCUACCCAUAUAAAUUACAUCAGAUUUUGACAACUUUAUUUUUUCCGGCGUGGACAGUGAUUUCCAAAAAAGUUUUCUGGUGGUAUUUUAGAACCUAUUUUAGAGUGUAGAAUUCGGCUUGGUCUCAACAACAACAACAACCCAGUAUAAUCCCACUUAGUGAGGUCUGGGGAGGGUAGUAUGUACGN